Long non-coding RNA from Acanthochromis polyacanthus (spiny chromis), 1709 nucleotides. RefSeq lists it as uncharacterized. The transcript is spliced from 3 exons. The record is from RefSeq and is a predicted model, not a curated record. NCBI's taxonomy places the organism in Eukaryota, Metazoa, Chordata, Actinopteri, Pomacentridae.
CAUUUCUCUGCAUCAGAACUUAGUAACGUGAAUCAAAAUGUGAUGACAGUUGUGGGGUUGUUUGUUUGUUUCCAGCAAAUCUGAUCAAACUGGAUCUAAACAGAGCUAGUGAAUCAAGUUUACUCAGCUUUUGCAUGCCAAACUUUUGAAGUCUACUUGAAAUGAAGCUUGGUUGUUGACAUCACUGAAAACCUCAGUGUUUCACUGAAAUUCAACUUCAUUUAAUAGUGUUCCCUCCAAAAUGUUGACCUUAAGUGUCUUAAACUGCUAACAAUGCUUACCAAACAUUAUGUGUGCUUGUUGGGCUACAGUGCAUGACAGUAAAGCUUGUUAGAGGAUCCAGGGAAUCCUCAGAUUUGUUGGGCUUUCAUGCAUUUUUUGUAAAACCAAAAUUUGAAUUCAGGCCUGUAAUGCCACUAGUCUGUUGUCCAUGACAUUAAACUGAUAGAAAGUGCUAAAAUUACACAUAAGAGGAAGCAACAACUAACAAAAUCUGUUCAUGAGACUUCAUUCAUUAAUAAUCACUAUUAUUUGCAUCAUGAGCUACAGCUGUGUUAACGGUGUACUUGCCUUGAACUGUAUAUUUUGCUCUUAUAUUUCCAUUGUAUAUAUUUUUUAGUGUGUGUUAAUAUUGCCUUAUAUAGUUUAUUUUUUAAUGCUGCUGUAUGGAGAGUGCUAAACUGAUUUUUAUUGUUUUCUGUAACAGUGACAAAGAUCUAUUCUCUUCUAGUCUUCUAUUCUAUUUGAGAAUUUCAUAUGCUUUAUACCACUGUCGAAUUUCUGAGGCACUUAAUAGUGCAUCCACUCAGUCCCUCAGCUAAAUCAACAAAAAGUAAGAAGUAAAUGUACUGAAGAAUGUAGUAAAUCAACCACAGUGCACCAGUCAAACUAUAGGACUGGAGAAAAAUGAAUGCAACUCAGAGAAUAUUAAUGUAGAGAACACUAUCAUGGCAGAAACCGGUAGAAAAGUAGAACAAAAACCCACCAAGGACAUGCUGUAUAUGCUGAUUUCUUAGGAAAAACUUUGUGCAUAUUUAGUGAUGAGUAUCUAGUAUUUUAGAGAUAUAUUUAACCAAGCUGUCAGGGGCUUCAGGAUGAAUUAGAAAGUGUUUCUACAAAGGAUCUGACAGCUCAAAUGGAAGUGUUGUUUAAAUCUUUAAAUCUAUCCUCCUCGUGGGAGAACAGUGCAGUACAGAAUCGUGACUAAUAUGAGGGAAGCCUCCGAGGGCUUGUUUGCGAAAAACUUGUCUGUCAAUGUGACUAAUUUUAGGAAUCAACCGGAAGAUCAGUGAAAUUACGAGAGAACCGCUGACGUGAGCAUUCAGCUCCAACCAAAAACAAACACUGUGAUAUCCUCUUCAAAACAUCAACUCACGGAAUCCCCCGCCACUGCUGGGCCGGUCUGAUGGAGAGUCCUCUAAAACAGGCCCUGCGUGAUCUCUCACACUGGGCCCCUGUUGGCACCUCAUCUGGCUCCCAGCCUGACCCACAACACCCCCCCCAGAGGAACAUAUGUAGCCGAGGAGGAGGCAGCAUGCAAUCAGCGCCUUAUUUUUGCAGCACACAGGAUGUAGGGCGAUUGACAAAACAUAAGAAAGCUCAGACACUCCUGUCUGGAGGAGAAUCGGUUUUGGUUUCCUCCGCAGCCUCCGAACACAAACGGUCUGCAUUCCCCCGUUCGGAUGUGAAAAUACCAGAGGAGAACGAAA